RNAcentral lists this ribosomal RNA (476 nucleotides) under uncultured bacterium. Its description in RNAcentral is "bacterial SSU rRNA". It matches the Rfam family "Bacterial small subunit ribosomal RNA", at positions 327 to 793 of the family's 1533-position model. The record is from RNAcentral.
CGGCUAUCACUCCUACGGGAGGCAGCAGUGGGGAAUAUUGCACAAUGGGGGGAAACCCUGAUGCAGCCAUGCCGCGUGUGUGUAAGAAGGCCUUCGGGUUGUAAAGCACUUUCAGUAGGGAGGAAGGUAGUGUAGUUAACACCUGCACUAUUUGACGUUACCUACAGAAGAAGCACCGGCUAACUCCGUGCCAGCAGCCGCGGUAAUACGGAGGGUGCGAGCGUUAAUCGGAAUUACUGGGCGUAAAGCGCAUGCAGGCGGCCUGUUAAGUCAGAUGUGAAAGCCCGGGGCUUAACCUCGGAAUUGCAUUUGAAACUGGCAGGCUAGAGUCUUGUAGAGGGGGUAGAAUUUCAGGUGUAGCGGUGAAAAUGCGUAGAGAUCUGAAGGAAUACCAGUGGCGAAGGCGGCCCCCUGGACAAAGACUGACGCUCAGAUGCGAAAGCGUGGGGAGCAAACAGGAUUAGAUACCCUGGUAG